GACGAACGCUGACGGUGUGCUUUAGACAUGCAAGUCGAACGAGAAAGCCCUUCGGGGUGAGUACAGUGGCGAACGGGUGAGUAACACGUGGGCAAUCUGCCCCUCGCAGGGGGACAACCGGGGGAAACCCCGGCUAAUACCCCGUACGCUUGUAGAGUCGCAUGGCUCUACAAGGAAAGGUAGCUUCGGCCAUCCGGCGAGGGAUGAGCCCGCGGUGCAUUAGCUAGUUGGUGAGGUAAUGGCUCACCAAGGCGACGAUGCAUAGCUGGUGUGAGAGCAUGACCAGCGCCACUGGCACUGAGACACUGGCCAGACACCUACGGGUGGCUGCAGUCGAGAAUCUUCGGCAAUGGGCGCAAGCCUGACCGAGCGACGCCGCGUGUGCGAUGAAGGCCUUCGGGUUGUAAAGCACUGU
RNAcentral lists this ribosomal RNA (415 nucleotides) under uncultured Actinomycetes bacterium. RNAcentral describes it as "bacterial SSU rRNA". It matches the Rfam family "Bacterial small subunit ribosomal RNA", at positions 28 to 436 of the family's 1533-position model. Lineage: Bacteria; Bacillati; Actinomycetota; Actinomycetes. The record is from RNAcentral.